CAUGCAGUCGACGAGAAGUUUCUUCGGAAAUGAGUAAAGUGGCGCACGGGUGAGUAACGCGUAGAUAACCUGUCCAGGUGCUCGGGAUAGCCCCCCGAAAGGGGGAUUAAUACCGGAUACGUUGAUUAUUUUAUAAGGAUAAUCAAGAAAGGUGGCCUCUAUUUAUAAGCUAUCGCACAUGGAGGGGUCUGCGUACCAUUAGCUUGUUGGUGGGGUAAUGGCCUACCAAGGCGACGAUGGUUAGCGGGUCUGAGAGGAUGAUCCGUCACACUGGCACUGAAACACGGGCCAGACUCCUACGGGAGGCAGCAGUGAGGAAUAUUGCGCAAUGGGGGCAACCCUGACGCAGCGACGCCGCGUGGGUGAGGAAGGCUUUCGGGUCGUAAAACCCUGUCAGAUGGGAAGAAAUGCUUAUAGGUUAAUAUCCUGUAAGUUUGACGGUACCAUCAAAGGAAGCACCGGCUAACUCCGUGCCAGCAGCCGCGGUAAUACGGAGGGUGCAAGCGUUGUUCGGAAUCACUGGGCGUAAAGGGCGCGUAGGCGGCUUGGCAAGUCAGAUGUGAAAGCCCACGGCUUAACCGUGGAAGUGCAUUUGAAACUGCCUGGCUUGAGUAUCAGAGGGGAAGGUGGAAUUCCCGGUGUAGAGGUGAAAUUCGUAGAUAUCGGGAGGAAUACCGGUGGCGACGGCGACUUUCUGGCUGAAUACUGACGCUGAGGCGCGAAAGCGUGGGAGCAAACAGGAUUAGAUACCCUGGUAGUCCACGCCGUAAACGAUGUCAACAUGCAGUCGCAUGCAGUCGCAUGCAGUCGCAUGCAGUCGCAUGCAGUCGUUGA
Molecule: ribosomal RNA, 834 nt
Filed under: uncultured Desulfobulbaceae bacterium
Lineage: Bacteria; Pseudomonadati; Thermodesulfobacteriota; Desulfobulbia; Desulfobulbales; Desulfobulbaceae
Description: bacterial SSU rRNA
Rfam family: Bacterial small subunit ribosomal RNA
Source: RNAcentral